CAAAGUGCUGGGAUUACAGGCGUGAGCCACUGCCCCCGGCCGCAUGGGGAGUUCUAAUUGACUCAUUUCAGUGGCAAUGUAAAUUUGGGAGAACGAAAUUAUCAUCUCACAUCUGCCACCAACUGCUGUUAGCUGUAGAAUGUCAUACGCGUCCAUGUGAAGAGACCACCAAACAGGAUUUGUGAUAUUGCCACGGUUUCUACGGGACUGAACAAAGGGGGACCCACACAGGAAUGAAAACUUAAAACAAAACAGCCACUAAGGAAGGCGCAGAGGGACUUCCUUUCGGCCCGAAACAGUAUCUGUGCUGCCAAAGUUGUUUUCCUUGUGACUCAAAUGAGGAAGAAUAAACUUGGUUUAGGACUAUUCAAUGCCAGUGUUUUCAGAUGGCUCCACCAGCAGAGAACAGAGAAGGGGAGAAGAGGAAAAGCAGCUGGACGUCGGGGACUGCGGUUUGACGUCGGAGAGAAGCAGCUUGACUUCAGAGGGACAGCUUGACCGCUUUGCUUUGGAGAGGAGUCUGGCUGGGGAUGGCUGGACUCCAGGGGAAGAUCGUCUUCCUGUUCCAUCCCUUUUCCAGCUCCCCUCCCACUGAGAGCCACUUUCAUUGGCAAUAAAAUCCUCCAUAUUCACCACCCUUCAAUUCGUUCAUGCGACCUGAUUUUUCCUGGAUGCCAAACAAGAGCCCAGGUGCCACAGGUGUGGAUACUAAAGGCUGUCACACUGACCCUUUGCCCUUGCUGGCAGAGAGCAACCACUUCAUGCAAAAAGGCAGAGGGCCCACUGAGGUAUUUAACACUUAAGCUGUCCGUGGACAGCCAAGCUAAAAGAACACUGUAACACACUCCCUCUGGGGCUUCUGGGGUCCCUGGUAUUCCUGACGAGACACUGUCAUGGGGCCUGCAGGGAGUUUUGCUCCUGCCAACACCCAAAAGCACUCUUUCUGGCUCCUGCACCCGCUCACCUGCGUGCUUCCCCUUCCCUCAAGGGCUUGAGAGCUGCAGGCUGAGUAAGUAGGCACCCUUGUCACGAGGUCCAAAAAGGGAUCAAGGAAAAUUUCCUGUUUCAGUGCUUUGGCAAAAACUUGAGUCAAUGAUACAGAAAAGUUAUGAGAGUUGAAAUCCUUGUCUAGUUCCCACUCAUAAUUCACUGAUUUUUAUUUCUGUAGUUUAUAAUCUGAGGUUAAUUCUAUCCAAUAAUAUUUUCAUUGUAGUAAUUGGGUAAUUUUUAUAUUUAGAUAUUGCUUUUGGUUUCUUUUUUGUAACGUCCAGUUCUCCAUUUUUUUGGUACAUAUAAAUAAAUAUAAUAACUCUUUUAAUGUUAUUAUUUGAUAAUUUAAUCAUCUCUGUCAAUUCUAUGUUUCUAUUGACUAUUUCCCCCCCAAUCGUAAGUCUAAUUUUCUUGUUUGUAUGUGCAGUAGUUAAAAAAUUCAAAUUAAAAAUAUUGCAAAUUUCUGGCCAGGUGUGGUGGCUCAUGCUUGUAACCCCAGCAUUUUGGGAGGUGGAGGCAGGCAAAUCACUUGAGGUCUGGAGUUCUCCAGCCUGGCCAACAAGGUGAAACCUGUCUCUACUAAAAAUACAAUUAG
Molecule: long non-coding RNA, 1585 nt
Filed under: Homo sapiens (human)
Lineage: Eukaryota; Metazoa; Chordata; Mammalia; Primates; Hominidae
Description: HSALNT0024619
Source: RNAcentral